Malaya genurostris is the source of this 3032-nucleotide long non-coding RNA. RefSeq lists it as uncharacterized. The transcript has 2 exons. NCBI's taxonomy places the organism in Eukaryota, Metazoa, Arthropoda, Insecta, Diptera, Culicidae. The record is from RefSeq and is a predicted model, not a curated record.
UCAGUGAUAGCAGCAAGUGUGCACGCCGGGAAACGCUGCAUCGAGGCUACUGCAAGCGGUGCAAAAUACCACUUUAUCCCGGCAUAUUGGCUCAGAUUAGAAAGCGCUAGCUCAAACACUCACACAGAAAGUACCGGGAGUGACAAUCGCUGCUGCUCGAUCGACGACCUGCCGCAGCGGGAGCAAAAUUUAAACUGAAUUUUUGUAUACAAAUGAUAACCGAACCAGGAGGCCAUGCCAACCAGAAGGAUGUCACGGGUAACUCGUAGCGUUUGGUAUGAGUGCGAAUACAUGAACCCGGGAAUAGGGGGCCACUCGAUUGCUCCUGGAAUGGCAGAGGAUGAGUUCGGAAGGUUACCGCUCCGAUGAAAUACCAAAAAAUGUCCUGUUUCAAAUGCCACACAGGAUCGAAAAUGUGUGUGAAGAAGUUUGAAAUUGGACCAGGAAUGCAGCAAACGCAGGAUAGUGCCACUCUCACCCAAACUCACACACACCAUUCAGAACAGAAGCUACUUCGUUUUUUUUUCGCAGGACUCUCCUAUCAACGCUGGAUGGCAGCAGGUUGACCUGUGAAAAGGAUAUCAAGUCAACUUGCAAUCCAACCAUACUGCACCCGUAUGAGAACAACUUUCUUCGGAACGAGAAAAGACUUUCUUCUUUUGCCGGGCAACAUGAUGCGGACGCCGAAAUCUAUUGACGGUGUUUAAUUGUUAUUGAAAAAUGCACGGGUGCGCUGAAUCGCGCCUAUCAUUGACCUCUCCCCCCCACCCCUCCAUUCCAGCUACACACCCGCCGGAGGAAUCGUAGCAGGCGUGGAAAAAAUAUUGUUCCAUUGCCGUUCCUGCUAGUGAAGGUAGAACAGAGAUAGACUGAGUAGGCCGUGAUGAAACAAUAACUAUUUCAUCAAUUAUUUUAUUCCAUUUGCAACAAUUCAAAUGUGUUGCGAAUCAGUGGAUAUUUCGAUUCCAAGUGUGUGUUUUGCGUAUGUGGGUGGAAUGUUGGGAACCAACACAAUCAUCAUGUCGAGAGAGCGAAGCCGCGACUGACGCGAGCAACGCACCUCUUCCCAGUGCUGUUCUGUUCUGUUCGCGCUAGCCUACUAGGAUGCGUCGGUGGUUGCACGUGGACAUCGCCGCACGCACGCACGCACGUACGUACGCACUCAAUGCCAUCGAAUCCGCAGCACCGUGUCGAUUGUUAAACUGUGAUUGUAGUAGUAAUAGUAGCAGUAUUAGGUACGGCUAUCGGCGUUGUAACGCCAGUUCUGUUCUGAGUGAUGCAGCUUCCCUGUGACAGCAGGUGACAAUGGAUAAUGGGGACUUGUUUUUUUUAUGGAAAGUGACGCGUGUCUGUGGCCUUGAUUAUUUAUCACAGUAGGCGCGCAUUUUGUAAUUUAUUCUAGACAAUGACGCAGAUCCCCCACCAAAUUGGUCUUGCCGGCUGCAUUUUGUUUCCAGUAGGAGGGGGGAAUGUUACCAACGCAUAGUCCGAAAUGAAAAAAAAUAAUCAAAAGUAAUUCAGUAAACUGUGUUUGAUUGACUUUUUUCCAGCAUUUUUGCAUACAUUUUACAUACUCAACAGUACUUAAAAAAUAAUAUGUAUUGUUUUAACAAUAGUAAUACUUGUAAAUGUUCAAAACUAUGAACCAGCGGAACAUCUGACAGAAAAGCUUUGGUUAGGGAGAAUGGAAGUGCAAACUUCCUAAUGUUAACCGGUGUGGCGGGCGAAAGGCGAACUUUUUCUCCCGCCUUCUGGGACCAAUCGGCAUUGUAACGGCUGUCAUUGCGACUGACCCAUCGAAUCAAAACAGGAGGAAUAAAUUUUUUCAUAGAUAUUAUGUAGCUUUCUAUACAUAGAGAGAAAGAAAUAGUGAAAAUAAGCAAAUUUGGGUUUUGCACAAAGAAUUUUUUUUAUUGAAAUUAUGACAAAAGUAAACCUGGUUUGAUAACAAGAAACAAGAUAAUUAUUUUUACUCAGCAGAUUAGUUUGCGAUUGAAUUAUUCACAUACAACAAUCAUUACACAAAUAAGAUCAGAGGUAAAUUGAACCAAUUUUGACGUGAAUACGUUUUACUUUAAUAACAAGAGCCUUUUCAAAAUUUACCUUCUGGGAUAGUGAUCAGUGUUUGAUCGUGAAUAUCCCCUGUUACGAUACGAUCAAUAAUUUAUGAUAGAAUUUUCAGUUGGAUGAUAUCCUCAAACAACUCCAAAUUAACAUUUUCUAACAUGCUUGAUACGUAAAGAAGGCAAAAAUUUGUAGGUUUCAUUCAUUCUAGCCUGCGUAGUUGACCAGGAUUUUGAACUGAAAAUAAGAUUCAGACCAGCAUUCAGUUCCAAAUUUCCUGUCCGGAAUUGAGAUUUAGAAUACAGUUUCAAAAUUCAGUUCAGAACUCGGAACCUGAAGCGCUGGAACUUUAGACCGAAAUCCAGAAAAAGAACUCAGAUCCAAAUUUAAGUUGUAUUUGCAGAAUUCAGUUCUAAACUGCAUUCCAGAAACCAGGCUUAAAGUUCUACACCAGAAUGCAAGUCUAGAAUUUGGUACCGAUUCAGACAAUUCUAGAAGUGUACCCGAAUACAGGAACUAGAUUCUGAAGACUUUUGAACCAAAUCCCGGAUGUGGAUUCCAGAACAGUAUGUCAGCUGAAUUCUGGAUCCAGAUUUGAAAACUGAAUUCUGGACUAAAAUCGUGAAACUAAAGUUUCAUCUGCUGAUCAGAAUCCAGAUCCAGAGUACAGUGAGUUGCCGAGUUCAAGUCAGCAUUCAGCAUCAGAAUUAAGAUUUACCUGCGGACCCCCACAGGGACAGAAGGAUACGACCAGCAUCGAAAUGAUCCAGCGUCACCGAGAUAAGUUCCAACCCACCAACCAUUGCCGACUUACACCAUCUGGAGGCAGGAUUUCCCGGAGUAAAGCACCGUUAACCCAUUGCGACAUCACCAGAAUAGUUGAACUUUUACUAGUUUUAAGUAGUUAUUUAAAAUUAGAAAAUGCCCUCGGCAUCUUAGAGCUUAAGCUAAAAAAUUCGGUUCCAAAA